AUCAGUAAACCCCAAAAAUAAUACCAUAAAGCAUUCAUAAAAUUGUUUUUCAAAGCAUAGAUUGGUGUGUAGAAAUACUAGUGACCAUUAAUGUUGAAUUCAUCUAAUCAUCAUCCAUUAGCCAAGAUAAUAUCCAUCACCCAUGACAUCAUCCAUGUAACCUUUCACACAUACAUACACACACGUACAACAAUUUAGAUGGAUAUGUAUAAACAGAUGCGUACACGCAAGUCUAUAUGUAUGUAUGAAUAUGUUUUGGAUGGUAAAACGAUGAAAUCAUAAAGCAUAAGUUCUUGAGGUUGGAGAGUCGGCAAUCCGAAGAGUUUGUUGGAUAAUUUUGUGUGCCUUUCUGCUUCUUAACUCAAAUCUCAUACUGUCCGUCUUCUCUAUCUUCUCAUACGAUGAUGAUGAUGAUGACGAUGAUGAUGAUGAUGAUAAUGAGGAUCUCUUCCUCAUCCUUAGACUUGCCUUUAUCUUGGACUUCAAGCCUUCUACAAUCUUCCCAAAUCUCAUCCUCACCAGAAUCUGACUUCUAUAGAAAAGUAAA
This is a long non-coding RNA of Brassica rapa (field mustard), 547 nucleotides long. RefSeq lists it as uncharacterized. The record is from RefSeq and is a predicted model, not a curated record. NCBI's taxonomy places the organism in Eukaryota, Viridiplantae, Streptophyta, Magnoliopsida, Brassicales, Brassicaceae.